GCCGGCGGGCCGCGGCAAGCUUUGAGGAGACGCGUUUGACCCGGGAACAAAGCGACGGGGGUUUAUCUGUGCCCGGCAGCUCGUUCCCGAGCCCGAUGAGCUGGUCCCGCUGUCCCGCCCCUGCUUCCCGCAGUCUCUCUGCUCCCAGACGGGGCUCUCUCCUCCAGCGAAGCUGGCGGUGACCUACCUACGGUUACGGACAAAGUAGGUCUAGGGAAGACUGCAGCUGCCCGGUGGAAUAUUCUUCCAGGUAACCGAGUCAACGCACCAAUCGACCUUUUAGCUGGAUGACCAACUUUCUCCUGGAAAAACCUAGUUAUUUUACUUCAUUACAUGAAACCUUGUCAAAACAGACCUCACGCAAUUAAGCUUCCUCUGGUCUGUGAUCAAAUAUUCAGCGUCAAAUACAACAAAGUUAACAAAUCCCCGACUGCAACGUAUAAAAUACUGAAGAGCAGCCUGAACGAGGCUAGAUCAUUGUGGCCAUAUAAAAGCUAAAUCAACAGGAAUUUGUUUAGGAAAAAAGGUAAAGGGCGACUGUCAUUCCAGUGUGUUACAAUAGCUUUCAAAGUUCUUCACCCCACAGCAUCACUGGAAUUGUGCUACAGGGGACAGCACUCAGACAAGCGGAAGCGAAAGAAUUUGACCUCAAGUCGCCGCACAGGCUAGAAACUGGCCUGUCUGAAGUCAGGGCUUCCACAGAUCCUCCCCCUCCCCAUCUCCUUACCACACAAAACCCUGCUCAGCCAGUGUCGGGGUAACUGAAAGGUACUUCACUGCUCUUCUACAAAGUUUUAAGUCUCAUCACUGGCUAGUCAAGAAACCUGAGACAGAGGAAGAUCUGAGAGGCACCCGGGAGGGCACUUUUCUCCUCAUUAAUCUUUGGUCCUCCCAUCUGGGUCUCUGAACAAAACUGAGUGGUUGCAAGAAAACACAGUCUAUAUCUGAUUGGCAAGAGGAAGUGUCACAAGAUUGAAAAUAGUAUCAGAUAAAGUAAUGAUUUUAGUUAAUAUCAAAUACAAGCUACUUAUAUCCCAAAUAGGUACAGCAAAGGCACAUAAAAAGGCUUACUACAUGGGUUAAAAGCAAAAAUAUUGAAAAUACAGCCAUUUAUAUCAGAAGAAAGUGCGCUCUCACUAGGAAAUGUGGAAUUAAAGUUACAAUUAAGAAACACAAUGACAUACAUUUCUUAACAACAUACAGCACCCUUGGAACCUU
This is a long non-coding RNA of Aquila chrysaetos chrysaetos, 1218 nucleotides long. RefSeq lists it as uncharacterized. The transcript has 3 exons. The record is from RefSeq and is a predicted model, not a curated record. NCBI's taxonomy places the organism in Eukaryota, Metazoa, Chordata, Aves, Accipitriformes, Accipitridae.